Dunckerocampus dactyliophorus (ringed pipefish) is the source of this 1026-nucleotide non-coding RNA. The record is from the annotation of a RefSeq genome assembly. Lineage: Eukaryota; Metazoa; Chordata; Actinopteri; Syngnathiformes; Syngnathidae.
UGAUGAAAUAUUUCCAAGUAUUGGCGCCGCUGGAUGCCUCAAUGACGAUCGAGUUUGGAGUGUGCGAUUUCAGGUUCCUGCACCCAAAAUAGUCACCAAAGAGUCUCGGGUGGAUCUUCAAUGCAGUCACGAUGACGGCAGCCAGGACAUAAUGCUGUGGUACCACCAAGGCAAGGGCAGUCGUCUCAUUAACCUAAUCGGGUCCAGCUACAUCGGCAACAAGCCCAUCUACAAGGAGCAAGACGAUCGCUUCGAAAUAACAAGAGAGGACACGCAAAGCGGCUCUCUCAGCAUUCACAGAGUCAAAUUGUCAGACGCAGAACGAAGCCAUUUUGUCAGGGCGCCUGCAGUCACCUUGCUAGCAUCUUCUCCCGAGGAGUGUCCCAACCAGCAGGACGAGGGCAAGAGGAAGAAGACACUAGUGUGUGUGGUUACUGGCUUCUUCCCGGACCAAGUGGGUGUCUCUUGGCAGAUUGAUGGCGGCACCGUCACAGAUGGCGUGGCGACGGACGGUGAUGCCCUGCAGGACGACGCCUUCUACAAGAUGAGCAGCAGGCUGAGGGUGGAGGCGGACACGUGGUUCAAACCUGGCAGGACCUUCACCUGCAUCGUCAGUUUCUUUAACGGGAACCAGACCAGCUUUCAUUCCGAUACCGUUUACGGCACUGAAGACACAGUGACAAGAGAGCAAUAUUUGAGGGUGUCUCAGAGAGCCAAACUGUCCUACACCGUCCUGUUGGUGAAGAGCAGCAUCUACACAGCUUUUGUUGCCUUCUUGCUGUGGAAGCGCCAGGUUGCUUCUCCUCCUGUUACUACUUUGGGUGCAGUUUGCAUGUUGGCCUCACAGUCUGGAGACUGAGGGUUUGGAUCUCUGCCUGGGAAUUUUUUCUAUUUUUUGUUUCAGGGUUGGACCACGACAAAGCAGAGUACUUCCCGAGGCCACCAUGAUGGACCUCUGUGUGUCCAAUAAAGCGCUUUAACAUAGCAGUUUGACAUGAGUUCUGCACUUUUUGUUGUUUAUGUCAU